This 7649-nucleotide long non-coding RNA is filed under the name Capsicum annuum. Its description in RNAcentral is "long non-coding RNA (CANN_LNC004917)". The record is from RNAcentral. Lineage: Eukaryota; Viridiplantae; Streptophyta; Magnoliopsida; Solanales; Solanaceae.
GGAAGGGGAAGGAGGUUAAUGGAGACGCGACGGCCGAUGGGAUUAGAGUGGUGGACAGCGGUGGCUGUGGGUGGUUGACUACCCAACGCCAUAGAGGAUAAAGAAAAGAAGAAGGGUGGGAAGGGGUGGCGCUCCAGGCUAUAGGUGGCUGGUUCGGUAGGAGUGGUGGUCUUGAUGGAUCUCACCGGUCAUCACCUCUAGCGAAAGGUGACAGAAAUAAAAAGAGGAAGAGAGGAAGAGUGGUGCAGUGAUUGUGGUAUUCGUACAACGUCGGUCGGCUAGUGGUAAUGCGGUUGUGGUUUUUUAGAGAGAGAAAGAGGAUAGGGUUUACGGUGGUGGUUUGUCAGCGGAAAGCUCACCGGAAUACAAUAGAUUUUAGCGGCACUAAGAAGGAGAAAAAAGAGAGAAAAUGAGAGAGGAGAGAGGUAUCUAAUAUGUGUGUAUAUCUGUGUGUUUUGUUAAAGUCUGUGUUGUGUAUUUUGAGUGAUGAUAAAAAUUACCCCCUUCCCCUCUUUUAUAAUACAAAAUAACCUCCUUUUUACCCUAAAAUAUUAAAAACUAACUCCUUCAUCUCUUUAAUGUAUGAAUUAAUCCACAGGAUAUUGUCCAAUGAGUUUUUCAUCUUUUUAACCAAUAAAUACAGACUCUUUAUUCAAGGGAUAAAAAUGUCAACCCAUCACCUCAAAUGUCUCUUUUAAAAAGGUGAUGAAAUCUUGAUUUUAUUGAUUUAUUGCUCUGUGUAUUAAAAUAAAUAAACUGACUUACAUUUGCAGAUCGUAUUAAAUAAUGUACAAAAAUAUGAAUGUCGAUGUAUAAUCACAGAAAAAUAAAAACAACAAUAAUUAAAAUUAUAAUGUGCGGUAAAAAAUUAAAGUACUAUGUUGUGUACGUAUGCAAAUGUUUGUGCCAAAAUUUAAAAUGAUAAUAAACUGACAAAAAAUCCUAAAAUUUACUAAAUUAAGGACAAUUAUCAAUAAAUUAUGUAAAAUUAAAAUAUGAUAAUAAAUUGCUAUAAUUCCUAAAAUAAUGAUGAUAAUUAAUAAUUCAUUAACAAUUGUAAAAACUGUGUGAAAAUUGCAUUUUCUACCAUUUAACGAUCAGAAAGCCUAAAUGCGUUAAUUCUAAGCUUGGAGAGCCAAAAUUGGGUGUCAACAGUUGUUUUCUUUUCAUUUGAAGAUAAUAUAGAAGUCUAAAUACAAAAACAUUGAUGUGUAGUCAAUUUUGCUCAACAAAAAAUUAUUAUUUGAUAAAAAAAAUUCAAGCAAACUCCAAUUUAGAGUUGUUAUCUCAAUAUGUCCUAUUUUUUAGUAGACGAACCUAAUGUACUCAAAUUUUAUACCUGCAAAAUUUAUCAAACUGAAAAACAGUACUUAAUAAAAGCAAAUAAGUAAUUAAGCUUGACUUUUUCAAGAAAUUAAAAAAAUGGCAUAUAAUGUUUAACUAAUAUAAGAUAAAUAAAUAAAGGCAUUACAGAUUUUAACUAAAGGCAUACAAAAUAUUCAACUGAAGACAGGCAUGCAUAAAAGGUCUGAUUAAAGGGCAGAUUAAUCGAGAAUAUCCUAUUUUAGGGUGAACAAAUCCAACUCAUGCUUGCAAAAAAAAUUUUUAAAAAAUACGGUGGAUUUUUUUUCUUUUUCCUUUUUUAUUUUUUUCUUUUUUUUUCUCUUUUUUUUUGAGAAAUUAAAGAUAACAUGCAGUGCUUAACUAAAAAAUAAGUUCAUUACAAUAUAUAUAGAUAAAGGUAAAGCAUGCAAUGCUUAAAUAACAAAAUAAAUGCAUUGCUAUGUGCAAGUAAAUAUAAAAAUGACAUGUGAUGCUCUAAAUUAUAAAACAAAUGCAUUGCGAUAUGUGCAAGGAAAGGUCAAGAUGACAUGAAGUGCUUAAAUGAUAAAACAAAUGCAUUGUAAUAUUUGCGGGACGUGCAGUGUCUAAAUGAUAAAAUAAAUGCAUUGCGAUGUGUGCAAGUAAAGACAAAAUGACAUGCAAUGCUUAAAUGAUAAAUCCAUUGCGAUAAGUUCAAGUAAAGACAAAGAUAAUAUGCAGUUCUUAAAUGAUAAAAAACAGCAUUGCAAUAUUUGUGAGGCGUGCAGUUCUUAAAUGAUAAAAUAAAUGCAUUGCGACAUGUGCGCAUUGUGCUUAAAUGAUAAAAUAAAUGCAUUGCAAUAUGUGUAUGUUAUGCUCAAAUGAUAAAAUAAAUUCAUUACAAUAUGCGUGUGUUGUGCUUGGAUGAUAAAAUAAUGCAUUGUGAAAUGUGACGGUAAAGGCAAAGAUGAAAUGAAGUGCUUAAAUGAUAAAAUAAAUGUAUUUGCGAUAUUUGUGAGUAAAGGCAAGAAUGAUAUGUGAUGCUUAAAUGAUAAAAUAAAUACAUUGCAAUAUUUGUGAGGCGUGUAGUGCCUAAAUGAUAAAUAAAUGCAUUGUGAUAUGUGUGUGCGGUGCUUAAAUGAUAAAUGCAUUGCGAUAUAUACAGACAAAUACAAAGAUGAAAUAGGUGCUUAAAUGAAAAAAUAAAUGCAUUGCGACAUGUGCAGGCAAAUGCAAAGAUGACAUGUGGUGCUUAAAUGCUAAAAUGAAUAAAUUCAUUGUGAUGCGUGCAAUUAAAGGCAAGGAUAAAAUGCAGUGCUUAAAUAAUAAAUAAAUGCAUUGCGGUAUAUACCAGUAAAGACAAAUAUGACAUGCAGUGCUUAAAUAAUAAGAUAAAUGCAUUGCGAUAUUUGCGAGGUGUGCAGUUCUUAAAUGAGAAAAUGCAUUACGAUAUAUGUGUGAACAGUGCUUAAAAAUAAAUGCAGUACAAUAUGUUUCAGAUAAAUGCAAAAAUGACAUGCGAUGCUUAAAUUAUAAUUGCAUUGCGAUGUGUGUAUAUAAAGGCAAAGAUGGAUUGCGGUGCUUAAAUGAUGAUAAUAAAUAAAUGCAUCAAGAUGCGUGUAAAUAAAGAUAAAGAUAGCAUGCGGUGCUUACAUGAUAAAAUGAAUAAAUGCACUUUGAUAUGUGCAAGCAAAGGUAAGCAAAAAAUACAGUGCUUAAAUGAUAAAUAAAUGCAUUGCGGUAUGUGCAAUCAAAGACAAAAAGAAAUGCAGUUCUUGAUAAAUAAUAAAAUAAAUGCAUUGCGAGAUACGCAAAUAAAGGCAAGGAAAGCAUGCAGUGAUAACAUAAAUAUAUUGCGAUGCGUGCAAGUAAAGGCAAAACUAGCAUGCAGUACAAAAAGAAAUAAAUGUAAUGCGAUAUGUGCAAGUAAAGACUGGCAAGCAUAAAUAUUUAAUUAAAAAAACAUGCAUAAUUAUCUUAUUGGAGGGUAGACUAACCCAAUUGUUCAAUUUUAGGGUGGACAAACUCAUGUAAAAAAUAAUUAUUGAAUAAAAAAUUAUUUGGGGAUGAAAGUAUUCACAUAUUCCCAAUGUUGCAUUCAAAAUUACCCCAAUAUCAAACUGGGAGAUGCUAGGGAGCGCAAGAUUGCGUACUUGCUGGAGAGAAAGAAUGAUUUUGGGGUUGUGACAACCAAACUCUACAUAGAGUUUUCUACACAUCUCGAAUGCUAUGGGAAUUAGGCCAAUGUAGUUCAAAAUAAGAAAAUAGGAUAAAUUUUGAGGCAGUUCUCAAAAAUUUUCUCAGUGUAUGAUUUAUGCUGACAUUGUCUCCUUAGAAAGAAGCUUUUAAAAAAUCUCUUGCUAUUAUUAAAAAAAUGCAUGGCGUCUCCGAUUGUUUAUGAAGACUUGAGAAUGAAUGAAGUCUCCGAUUAUCUACGGGGACCUGAUGAAUGACAUCUCCAAUUGUUAUGAAAAUUGAUGUUUAUUAUCGUUUUCAAUUAUCUACAAAGAUUAAGGCCCUCAACUAGUGAGGUGACUGAAAUCUAUUAACCUCUCAAUUGACGGGACUAUUGAAAUGUAAAAGGCUCUAGAUUGGUAAAACAAAUGUGAUAGCCUCUCAAUUGGCAGAGCUAUAAAAAAUUUUAAAAAAAUACUCAAAAAUAGACACUUAACUAAAAUAUAAAAUAUCGGUAUUUAAAGGUAUGUACUUGAAAGGAAAAGUCAAAUGCCCUUAUUUCAAAACUAGACGUCUUUAAUAAAAACUAAAAAUGCAUGUAUGUAAAAGUGGGCACCUUAAAUAAAAAUUAAAAAAUAUUCGUAUGUGAAAGUGAGCAUCUUGAAAAAAGAAAGAAAAGAUUUUGUAUUUUCUUGAUAAAAAGUGUUGAAAGAUAAAGAAGACACGAUCAUGUCUUGACUUUAGUUGGUACCAAUAAUUAGUAGUGUGCAUAAGAAUUCCCCCAUCUCCUUUCCAACAUAACUGAGAUCGACUUCAGGGUAACUCUCAUAGUUUCAAGUGUUACCCCAGACACGCCUAAAUAUCAACAAGAUUUUCUUGUCUUGCUUCAAAUAAAGGUCUCGAGCUAUACAUAUCAUCAUGUUUCAAGCGCCCUUUCUAGAAUAAAAGUCCCAUUUCACACAUAUUUGAGCAAUUUCUUUUUGAAUUUAGGGACAUCUAAAGAAAUACACUCACACUCACAAAAAAUUCAAUGCAUGCAAUUGUGAUAUCAUAGGCUUGACCUUCAUGUAAGUAUCCACUAAUAUGAGAACACUUGAAAUACGAUCUCGUUGGACUUAUUAUUGGCUGGUAAUAUAGGCUUGGGGACGAGUAGGAUGAUAUUUGGGAUAAAAGUGACUAAUCUCUCAAUGAACAUUAAUUGCAUUUGUGAUUUCAACGUUAGUUGCACUUGGAUGCAUGAUCUUCUUAGUUGUGCUGCGUUGUUCCUUAUUUUGUACUUGCUUUGACUUCUUUUGAAUCUUGCGUUGGAGUUUUCCCCCUUUUUUCAGGAAUAUAUAAAUAUAUAUAUAUAUAUAUAUAUAUAUAUAUGUAUAUAUAUAUUUGUUCUUUUAUUUAUUUUUCUCUUUUUUUUAUGAAGGUUUUGCUCCUUUUAAAGUAUAAUAAAUUUAGAGCUAAUAAAUAUGUAAAGACACAAUAAUUCAUCAAAUAUGUACAAAGACUAUAAUAAUGUGUCACUUGGGUCGUGGACCCUUCGGACAUAAAGUUGUCUAAUGAUGCAUGCACCUAAAAAGGUGUUAUUUAGCUAUAUCCAAUGUUGACUAAGAGUGGGUAGACACGGACUUGAAUUUCCUAUAUGAGAAGGCAUGUAGUCCCGCAGCAGUAAAACUCCUGCUCACCCCACACAUGCACCGACUCUCUAAAGUAAGGUGAUUUGAAAGAAUUAUUAGGAAAGUACAAUGUACAAUCCGUGAGUACAAUGUGUGUGAGUGUCAGUAUUUCGAAGUGGAGAAAACAUGAGCGUAAUGUCAGUUUAUAUAUAGCAAUAAAUAAAUAAACAGUUUAUACAAAAUAAUACCAACUAAACAAUUUAUGUCACAUAAACAAGAUAAAUCAAGGCAAUUAAUAUGAAACAAAUAACAAUGUAUAAAAACAUAAAUAUUUACCUAAGUCUGUAAUGAUCAGAACCUUUUGCAUUCCCCAGCAUAGUCGCCAAACUGUCAUACCCUAUUUUCACCUAGGUGAAAACGAGCAUGACGUUAUAGACUCAAAAAGAAUUAAUUUUGUACAAAGUCGCUUCCUAAUUUUUAAGAAAAAUAAGAAAACUUAUGUAUUUAUUAACAAAUAUGACUUUAUCUAAUCUACGAAACCAAAUUAAAUUCUAGACAAGGUUUAAAUUAUUCAAAAGGAAAGGGAUUAGGCAUCCUUCACAAUCUACAAAUGUGAUUUUCGAUUAGAUUUAGGUUAAUUAAAAGAGAAAAAGAAAAAUUCAGUGUUUGUAAAUACAGAUAAAAAUAUGUCUCAAAAUAAUAUAAUGCAUAUGCUAUCUAAAAAUAAAAAUAUAUAAAUAUGCAUGUAUAGAUAAGAUUUAAUAAAGAAAAAUUAUUCUGAAGAAAAACACUACAUAAUAAUAUUUUUUAAUGUAAGAAGUGUAAAUUAUUUGAUUAAAUAUCUAAUCAAUUUUAAUAUACAUAUUAACGGCCUAAAUUUACCUAAACGCGUAAUGAAUACUGUGUAAGUAAAAGCACCCCACCCGAUGCCCCAAAAUAAAAUUUUCACCAUAAAUGAUAUUUAUACAAGUGUAAGAAAUAAAAAGUACAAACACAAUUUAAACUCCUCUUUAAAUGUCAUUCCCGGCAAGUAUUCCCAAUAACCUGUAUAAAUAUUUGUAGUAAAAAUGUUAGUAACGAAUAAAUAAUUAUCAAAUGACUCGAGAAGGUAUGUGUGCAUAUAUGUAAAAAUAUAUAUAUAUAAUAUAAUUUUUGUUAAAACAGUGGGCUCGAAUAAAGUUUUUAAAUAUUAUAAGAAUUUCAUCAUUGCUGAAUUUAUUUAUUUUUAUUACAUACUUGUAUACGUAUACGUAAUAUUCGUCUUUUAAUUUUUGAAGGACUCAAAAAUCGACAAAUCGGCCAACUAGCGUAGUAUUUAUCCGUUAUCAAUAUAAAAAAUGAAAAUGCAAUAAAAGUAAAAAUAAAUCCAAAACAGUCGAAAAAAUCAUCUAAACAGUAGCAAAGUAACAGGAUUUCCAAAGUAAUCUUAUCAUCCGUAGGAUAACAAUGGAAUGUAGCAAACAACAUAUUUAUGACAGAGAUAGCCAAAAAUAGAGCAAAACAACAGCAAUAAAUAUCACAGGGCAGCAAGCGAAAGUUAGAAUAAGAAAAAAAGAAAAGAAAUUAUAAAUACAAUCAACGAGGUUAUGAAAAAAAAUAGUGAAAACAAUGGAGCUUAUCAGUUUUAACGGAGCUUCACUAGAGAAUAAAACCUCCGACAAGAUCUGCAAUAAAUGGGGGAGCUGAACAUUCUUCUAGGAUGAAUGUCGAAAAUAUAAUAACCAACCAGCUCUGCAAAAUCACACCCAUCCGGUUCAACCAAGAAAAAAGUAGAUCAAGCAUGAAAAAGUUCUAGCAAAUUUGAAGAUUUUUACUUCCCCUUUUCUAUCAGUUAAUAAAUAUAUGCUUUAUAAUAAAAGGAUUUCAUAAAAUAGAUUGUCACACUGCUUUCUUGCUCUCUUUGUUGAAACCAGCCAAAUCAUCUACACAUAAUCAAAGAUCGAUGAGAUUUUUCUUGCUGUUAAUAAACUCAAGGAGACGGAGUAGUAAUUAAAGAAAAAAUAAGGAUGAAGGAAAAUGAUGCAGUGACGGUAUUUAAGGAGCUUCGCGGUCACCACCUCCAACAAAGGAAUGGCGAAAACAAGGAAGGAUGGUUGGACGUUCUUAACAGGAGGCCCGUCCACUAGUGACCAACUCCAGCGAGCAGUGGCCAAAAAUAAGGAAGAAGGGGAAGGAGGUCGAUGGAGAUGCAGCGGUCGGUGGGAUUAGAGCGGUAGACGGCGGCGGCUGUGGGUGACUGAUUACCCAGCGCCGUGGAGGAGAAAUGAAAGAAGAGGGGUAGGAAGGGGUGACACUUCAGGCUUCAGGUAGCUGGUUUGGUAGGAGUAGUGGUCUUGAUGGAUCUUGUCGGUCAUCACCUCCGGCGAAAGGUAACAGAAAUGGGAAAAAGAAGAAAAGAAGGGUGGUGCAGUGAUGGUGGUGUUCGUACAACGUCAGUCGGCUGAUGGUGAUGCGGCUGUGGGUUUUUGAGAGAAAGAAAGAGCAUAGGAUUUACGGUGGUGGUUUGGCGGCGGAAAGCUCACCGAAAUACGAUGGAUGUUGGUGGCAUUGAGAAGAUGAGAAGAA